Molecule: ribosomal RNA, 232 nt
Filed under: uncultured bacterium
Lineage: Bacteria
Description: partial 16S ribosomal RNA
Rfam family: Bacterial small subunit ribosomal RNA
Source: RNAcentral
UACGUAGGGUGCAAGCGUUAAUCGGAAUUACUGGGCGUAAAGCGUGCGCAGGCGGUUUUGUAAGCCAGAUGUGAAAGCCCCGGGCUUAACCUGGGAAUGGCAUUUGGGACUGCAAGGCUUGAGUGCGGCAGAGGAGACUGGAAUUCCUGGUGUAGCAGUGAAAUGCGUAGAUAUCAGGAGGAAUACCGAUGGCGAAGGCAGGUCUCUGGGCUGACACUGACGCUCAUGCACG